UAAACACGUGAGCACAAAUAUGUAUUGUGCACUCAUUCAACAUUUGCUUAUUCUCUUGCAUUUUAUUUCUUGGUUUACUUGAAACUCUACUACUGCCGCUAAGUGUCUUUGGUUUGUGAUUUUCUGUGUUGUACUAGGCUGGUGUCAACAAGCUCGCAUCCACUAUUUUGCGUGUUCUUGAAUUACAUCAGAUGCUUGAAGAGCUGUCUAUUAUCCUUAGGGCAGGUGCUUUCUAACGAAAACGUUAAGUUCGGUUACAAUGCUGCAACCGGUAAGUACGAGGAUUUGAUGGCUGCAGGAAUCAUCGAUCCGACAAAGGUUGUGAGAUGUUGCUUGGAACACGCAGCUUCGGUUGCGAAGACAUUCUAGAUGUCAGAGUGUGUUGUUGUUGAGAUCAAGGAACCUGAGCCAGUUCCAGCAGGCAACCCAAUGGACAACUCAGGAUAUGGAUACUAAAAGGAGAUAGAGGAGUAAAGUAACCCUCGGGGAGAUUGAUUUCUUUUUAGCUUUUGCAAUAGAUAAGAGCGCAAGUGAGAGUAAUG
Molecule: long non-coding RNA, 542 nt
Organism: Brassica oleracea var. oleracea
Lineage: Eukaryota; Viridiplantae; Streptophyta; Magnoliopsida; Brassicales; Brassicaceae
Exons: 3
Source: RefSeq, a predicted model, not a curated record